This is a non-coding RNA of Acanthosepion pharaonis, 89 nucleotides long. The record is from the annotation of a GenBank genome assembly. Lineage: Eukaryota; Metazoa; Mollusca; Cephalopoda; Sepiida; Sepiidae.
UACACCGGUUCCCAUGCGAUAACUGAAGUUAAGCACAGACGAGACUGGUCAGUACCUAGAUGGGUGACUUCCUGGGAAUACCAGGUGCU